This is a long non-coding RNA of Mesocricetus auratus (golden hamster), 356 nucleotides long. RefSeq lists it as uncharacterized. The record is from RefSeq and is a predicted model, not a curated record. Lineage: Eukaryota; Metazoa; Chordata; Mammalia; Rodentia; Cricetidae. The transcript is spliced from 3 exons.
UGCUGCAGCAAAGGGGUGAAGGCACAAAGAAAAAUGCUCACAUGCCUCUUGGUGUUCUUUUUGCUGCCUGGACUGGUGCUAGGUUGAAGAAAUCAGAGUAUCACAUCGCUUCUUACAAUAAGCACAAUUUGAAUGCCUGCUGUAUGCUAUUGAAUGCCUACUGGAUGCUAUUGAAUGCCUACUGGAUGCUAGCGAACGCCUACUGUAUGCUAGUGAAUGCCUAGUGGACGCUAGUUCUUCAGAAGCCUUGUAUAAGGGUACGCUGUCCACUCUCCUGCAAGUGUCCACACAUCCGCUCUCUGGGUCUCCCCCAGCCUGGACCGUCCAGCUUUGAGAUCUAGAGAAAGAAAUCUCUG